GUUCUCCCUUUGCAGACUUUGUGGAGUGGCUGCUGCAGCUUUGCAUCUCCUCGCUCACCCCCUGGGCCAACUACCAGAGGAAGAAGACGGCUCUGCUCCUGCUGACGGCCAUUCUGGAGACCUGCACAGACACCUGGAGCCCUGAGAGGAAGAAAGGACAGCCCCCGCAUCAGGGACACGGCCUCAGAGCUGCUCGUCCGCUACUUCCCUGCAGCGUUCCCUGAGACCCUCACCCCAGCACUGCUCCGCUUGGCCCAGGAUGCCCUCAGCAGCCCCCGCGUGCAGGAGGCCGAAGCCGGAGCGGUGCUUAUGAAGACAGUCCUGCACAAGUCAGACAGCAGCACCCUGAAGCUCCUGGCCCUGGAAGCCAAAACAGCCCAGACACUGACAAACCGCAGCCUGUACUUCGCCCAGCACCUGCUGCGGGUACUGCAGGCCCAGCUUGCCACAGC
Molecule: long non-coding RNA, 452 nt
Filed under: Gallus gallus (chicken)
Lineage: Eukaryota; Metazoa; Chordata; Aves; Galliformes; Phasianidae
Description: long non-coding RNA NONGGAT002864
Source: RNAcentral